GGCUUUAUAGUGUAGUGGUUAUCACAUUGGAUUUUGACGUGAAACAAUUUCCAGUAACCCAGGUUCGAACCCUGGUAAGGCCU
Pleurotus ostreatus PC15 is the source of this 83-nucleotide transfer RNA. It matches the Rfam family "tRNA". Rfam says of the family: Transfer RNA (tRNA) molecules are approximately 80 nucleotides in length. Lineage: Eukaryota; Fungi; Basidiomycota; Agaricomycetes; Agaricales; Pleurotaceae. The record is from Rfam.